Molecule: small RNA, 571 nt
Filed under: Pongo abelii (Sumatran orangutan)
Lineage: Eukaryota; Metazoa; Chordata; Mammalia; Primates; Hominidae
Description: retained intron
Source: RNAcentral
CUUGUACUGGUGACAUCAGAUCUGCUGGGCUGGUGCCACUGGAGCCGAUGUGGUCCUUGUGACUCUUGCUGCCCCCAGCAUGGCUCUGCUGGUUCCAGCUGGAUGGCCCAUCUCCUGUCAGUAACCUGGCCCCGUCUGUUUUGCAGAUGACCCGUUGGCUUCCUGACCACCUGGCCGCCCACUGCUAUGCGUGUGACAGUGCCUUCUGGCUUGCCAGCAGGAAGCACCACUGCAGGAAUUGUGGGAACGUAUUCUGCUCCAGUUGUUGUAACCAGAAGGUUCCAGUUCCCAGCCAGCAACUCUUUGAACCCAGUCGAGUAUGCAAGUCUUGCUAUAGCAGCCUACAUCCCACGAGCUCCAGCAUUGACCUUGAACUGGAUAAGCCCAUUGCUGCCACUUCCAACUGAAGCUCAGUGACCUGGGUGGGCAGUGGCCAAGCUGCUGUUCCUAUGACAGGCCCACUCAGCCUGGGCAGACCGAGAGGCCCGUGCACUUUGGAAUGGGAGCGUGGAACCACCUGUAUAGAGUGACAGAAAUUUGGGAUGCACCACUGGAUUGUAGAUUGAUUUUU